This 492-nucleotide ribosomal RNA is filed under the name uncultured bacterium. RNAcentral describes it as "partial 16S ribosomal RNA". It matches the Rfam family "Bacterial small subunit ribosomal RNA", at positions 29 to 507 of the family's 1533-position model. The record is from RNAcentral.
AGUGAACGCUGGCGGUAGGCCUAACACAUGCAAGUCGAACGGCAGCACAGUAAGAGCUUGCUCUUACGGGUGGCGAGUGGCGGACGGGUGAGGAAUACAUCGGCAUCUACUUUUUCGUGGGGGAUAACGUAGGGAAACUUACGCUAAUACCGCAUACGACCUACGGGUGAAAGCAGGGGAUCUUCGGACCUUGCGCGAUUGAAUGAGCCGAUGUCGGAUUAGCUAGUUGGCGGGGUAAAGGCCCACCAAGGCGACGAUCCGUAGCUGGUCUGAGAGGAUGAUCAGCCACACUGGAACUGAGACACGGUCCAGACUCCUAAGGGAGGCAGCAGUGGGGAAUAUUGGACAAUGGGCGCAAGCCUGAUCCAGCCAUACCGCGUGGGUGAAGAAGGCCUUCGGGUUGUAAAGCCCUUUUGUUGGGAAAGAAAAGCAGCAGGUUAAUACCCCGCUGUUCUGACGGUACCCAAAGAAUAAGCACCGGCUAACUUCGUG